ACAGGCCUGUGAUGGUUAGUUAUCGCUGUCUGAAAAUCUCCACUGAGGGGAAAAAAAGUCUGUUCUGAGGUUUAA
RNAcentral lists this small nucleolar RNA (75 nucleotides) under Vicugna pacos (alpaca). Its description in RNAcentral is "Small nucleolar RNA R38 (ENSVPAG00000017613.1)". The record is from RNAcentral. Lineage: Eukaryota; Metazoa; Chordata; Mammalia; Artiodactyla; Camelidae.